Molecule: ribosomal RNA, 250 nt
Filed under: uncultured bacterium
Lineage: Bacteria
Description: partial 16S ribosomal RNA
Rfam family: Bacterial small subunit ribosomal RNA
Source: RNAcentral
UACGAACCGUACAAACGUUAUUCGGAAUCACUGGGCUUAAAGGGUGCGUAGGCGGCCACGUAAGUGAGAUGUGAAAUCCCUCGGCUCAACCGAGGAAGUGCAUUUCAUACUGCAUGGCUUGAGGGAGACAGGGGUAAGCGGAACUGAUGGUGGAGCGGUGAAAUGCGUUGAUAUCAUCAGGAACACCGGUGGCGAAAGCGGCUUACUGGGUCUCUUCUGACGCUGAGGUACGAAAGCUAGGGUAGCGAAC